AUACCGGCGGCUCGAGUGGUGGCCACUUUUAUUGGGCUUAAAGCGUUCGUAGCUGGGUUGUUAAGUCUCUUGGGAAAUCUGGCAGCUUAACUGUCAGGCGUCUAAGAGAUACUGGCAAUCUAGGAACCGGGAGAGGUGAGGGGUACUUCGGGGGUAGGAGUGAAAUCCUGUAAUCCUCGAGGGACCACCUGUGGCGAAGGCGCCUCACCAGAACGGCUUCGACAGUGAGGGACGAAAGCUGGGGGAGCAAACCGGAUUAGAUACCCGGGUAGUCCCAGCCGUAAGCGAUGCGCGUUAGGUGUGUCGAUGACCACGAGUCAUCGAGGUGCCGAAGGGAAACCGUGAAACGCGCCGCCUGGGAAGUACGGUCGCAAGGCUGAA
This 381-nucleotide ribosomal RNA is filed under the name uncultured archaeon. RNAcentral's name for it is "bacterial SSU rRNA". It matches the Rfam family "Archaeal small subunit ribosomal RNA", at positions 473 to 853 of the family's 1478-position model. The record is from RNAcentral.